GCGCCUGUAGCUCAGGGGAUCAGAGCACUGGUCUUCGGAACCAGGUGUCGGGGGUUCGAAUCCCUCCAGGCGCGCCA
RNAcentral lists this transfer RNA (77 nucleotides) under Armatimonadota bacterium. RNAcentral's name for it is "tRNA-Arg". It matches the Rfam family "tRNA". Rfam says of the family: Transfer RNA (tRNA) molecules are approximately 80 nucleotides in length. Their secondary structure includes four short double-helical elements and three loops (D, anti-codon, and T loops). Further hydrogen bonds mediate the characteristic L-shaped molecular structure. tRNAs have two regions of fundamental functional importance: the anti-codon, which is responsible for specific mRNA codon recognition, and the 3' end, to which the tRNAs corresponding amino acid is attached (by aminoacyl-tRNA synthetases). tRNAs cope with the degeneracy of the genetic code in two manners: having more than one tRNA (with a specific anti-codon) for a particular amino acid; and 'wobble' base-pairing, i.e. permitting non-standard base-pairing at the 3rd anti-codon position. Lineage: Bacteria; Bacillati; Armatimonadota. The record is from RNAcentral.